CUAAUUUACAUUUGCCCCACUCCUUCCUUUCAAUGCCACACCUCUUCCUGUUAAACGACUAACACACACUUUGACUGACAGACACACUCUCAGAUACACUGACAUACACACACUAAUUUGACACAAUCACUGACUCACUGACAUACGCACACAACACAGACACACACACAAUCAAACACAUACUAACUGACAGACACACACACUCUCACUCACUGACAGACAGCCACACAGUGACAGCCACACUGACAGAUUUACACACUGAAAAGACAUACACACACACAAUCACUCAUAUACACACAAACACUCAUACAUACACAUACAAUCAGACACACACAAUCACUCAGACAUACACACACUGACAGCCACCCUCCCCUCCACUCCUCAAACAUUAACC
This is a non-coding RNA of Pelobates cultripes (western spadefoot toad), 394 nucleotides long. NCBI's taxonomy places the organism in Eukaryota, Metazoa, Chordata, Amphibia, Anura, Pelobatidae. The record is from the annotation of a GenBank genome assembly.